UUUCAAACAAAAAAAAUAAAAUCAGAUCUUCCUUCUUCUCAACUUCCCAUUAAUCUUUCGUUUCAGUGUGUUUGAUCUUUAAAUGUAGGUCGAACAUAAGGUGCUAUUCUUCUUCAUCUCUCCCCCUUUUUUGUGUCAUACAUUAUCCCAGAAUCAUGGCUGCUUCUUCUCUCUUUCUCCACCAAAGCCUCCCUCACGAGUCACGAUCUCCGAUCUCUUCUAUGCAGUGGUGUACGUUUGAUCUUUAAAUGUAGGUCGGGUGGUCUCGGCGGUGGAGACAACAAGCGGUGGACUGGUGAACGGUGAUUAAACAGGAACUCACAUUAACAGAAACCCAAAAACACCAUCCUUUCAUCACUCAGCUUCUUCUUCAUUGCUCCGCUCCGAUCGAGAAUCUCACCGUCUAUUCAACCUUCUCGCUUAGCUUCUUCUGUGACCUUACGCGUGAGAACAGGAAACAACAACCAAAUGUUGAAGACAUAAGCUACAAAAGGUUAAGAUUCACAACAUUUUGGAGGCAACAUCUUGCACCUAGAGCUUCAGCCAGCAGAGGAUCUACUUCAAUAUAUGCUCCAACUUACAAAAAGAAAAUUCAGCAGUACCAGUUCUGUCAUAAGUGGCCAUUCCCCGCCUUAUCGACCCUCUGUGAAGUUGCCAGCAUCCACAGAAAUAUUUUAAAUUGAUGCACUUUCAUGCACAAUGUUGGGAGUUGCUUAAGCAUUUGAAAAUGGCGAAGUUACCGGCAUCCUUUACAUAAUAAUUUACUUUAAGGAAGACUUGAAGAUACCGGUAACCGAUGAGGAAUGUGAAGAUAUAGAUGUUACAAUCAAAUGUAGUUUAUUUUUUAUUAGAAUGUUCUCUUUUUUUUUAAGUACUACAAAGAGGGUCAAAGGACCAUGAUUAUAAUGUUGUUUAGUUGACUACUAUAAUGUAUAAAAUUUUCAUUGUAAGAGUGAAGGAUGUAAUUAUCUUGCAAUAUCUAG
RNAcentral lists this long non-coding RNA (983 nucleotides) under Medicago truncatula (barrel medic). RNAcentral's name for it is "lncRNA gene37499". Lineage: Eukaryota; Viridiplantae; Streptophyta; Magnoliopsida; Fabales; Fabaceae. The record is from RNAcentral.